This 231-nucleotide ribosomal RNA is filed under the name uncultured bacterium. RNAcentral describes it as "partial 16S ribosomal RNA". It matches the Rfam family "Bacterial small subunit ribosomal RNA", at positions 99 to 334 of the family's 1533-position model. The record is from RNAcentral.
CGGACGGGUGAGUAAUGUCUGGGAAACUGCCCGAUGGAGGGGGAUAACUACUGGAAACGGUAGCUAAUACCGCAUAACGUCGCAAGACCAAAGAGGGGACCUUCGGGCCUCUUGCCGUCGGAUGUGCCCAGAUGGGAUUAGCUAGUAGGUGGGGUAAUGGCUCACCUAGGCGACGAUCCCUAGCUGGUCUGAGAGGAUGACCAGCCACACUGGAACUGAGACACGGUCCAG